AGAGAAUAGAUACCCCGGUAGUCCAUGCUGUAAACGAUGGAUGCUAGCUGUGAUGCGUAUCGACCCGCGUCGUAGCGAAGCUAACGCGUUAAGCAUCCCGCCUGUGGAGUACGGCCGCAAGGCUAAAACAUAAAGGAAUUGACGGGGACCCGCACAAGCGGUGGAGCGUGUUGUUUAAUUCGAUGGUAAGCGAAGAACCUUACCCAGGUUUGACAUCCUUGGAAGUUCUGCGAAAGCAGAGUGUGCCUUCGGGAACCAAGUGACAGGUGAUGCAUGGCCGUCUUCAGCUCGUGUCGUGAGACGUUAGGUUAAGUCCUUCAACGAGCGCAACCCUUAUAGUUAGUUGUAUUUUCUAGCUAGACUGCCUGGUAACAGGGAGGAAGGAGGGGACGAUGUCAGGUCAGUAUCUCCCUUAUAUCUGGGGCUACAAAC
RNAcentral lists this ribosomal RNA (432 nucleotides) under uncultured bacterium. RNAcentral's name for it is "bacterial SSU rRNA". It matches the Rfam family "Bacterial small subunit ribosomal RNA", at positions 773 to 1221 of the family's 1533-position model. The record is from RNAcentral.